AACGCACAUUGCGCCCUUUGGUAUUCCACUGGGCAUGCCUGUUCGAGCGUCAUUUACACUCUCAAGCACUGCUUGGUGUUGGGUGUUUGUCUGCAUUUGCGCAGACUCACCUUAAAUGGAUUGGCGGCAGCACCUCUAGCUUCUUGCGCAGCACAUUGCGGUAGAAGGAGCUGGUAGUAGUCUGCAACCACAAAGACAUCUUUAGUUUGACCUCGAAUCAGGUAGGGAUACCCGCUGAACUUAA
Molecule: unclassified non-coding RNA, 244 nt
Filed under: uncultured Ascomycota
Lineage: Eukaryota; Fungi; Ascomycota
Description: sequence contains ITS2
Source: RNAcentral